CGAUGAACCACUUCGGUGGGGAUUAGUGGCGAACGGGUGAGUAACACGUGGGCAAUCUGCCCUGCACUCUGGGACAAGCCCUGGAAACGGGGUCUAAUACCGGAUACUGAUCCUCGCAGGCAUCUGCGAGGUUCGAAAGCUCCGGCGGUGCAGGAUGAGCCCGCGGCCUAUCAGCUUGUUGGUGAGGUAACGGCUCACCAAGGCGACGACGGGUAGCCGGCCUGAGAGGGCGACCGGCCACACUGGGACUGAGACACGGCCCAGACUCCUACGGGAGGCAGCAGUGGGGAAUAUUGCACAAUGGGCGAAAGCCUGAUGCAGCGACGCCGCGUGAGGGAUGACGGCCUUCGGGUUGUAAACCUCUUUCAGCAGGGAAGAAGCGAAAGUGACGGUACCUGCAGAAGAAGCGCCGGCUAACUACGUGCCAGCAGCCGCGGUAAUACGUAGGGCGCAAGCGUUGUCCGGAAUUAUUGGGCGUAAAGAGCUCGUAGGCGGCUUGUCACGUCGGUUGUGAAAGCCCGGGGCUUAACCCCGGGUCUGCAGUCGAUACGGGCAGGCUAGAGUUCGGUAGGGGAGAUCGGAAUUCCUGGUGUAGCGGUGAAAUGCGCAGAUAUCAGGAGGAACACCGGUGGCGAAGGCGGAUCUCUGGGCCGAUACUGACGCUGAGGAGCGAAAGCGUGGGGAGCGAACAGGAUUAGAUACCCUGGUAGUCCACGCCGUAAACGGUGGGCACUAGGUGUGGGCAACAUUCCACGUUGUCCGUGCCGCAGCUAACGCAUUAAGUGCCCCGCC
Molecule: ribosomal RNA, 792 nt
Filed under: Streptomyces sp.
Lineage: Bacteria; Bacillati; Actinomycetota; Actinomycetes; Kitasatosporales; Streptomycetaceae
Description: bacterial SSU rRNA
Rfam family: Bacterial small subunit ribosomal RNA
Source: RNAcentral